Molecule: ribosomal RNA, 230 nt
Filed under: uncultured microorganism
Description: partial 16S ribosomal RNA
Rfam family: Bacterial small subunit ribosomal RNA
Source: RNAcentral
UACGGAGGGUGCGAGCGUUAUCCGGAAUCACUGGGCGUAAAGGGCGCGUAGGCGGUCUGCUAAGUCCGAUGUUAAAGACCGGGGCUCAACCCCGACACGGCGUUGGAUACUGGCAGGCUUGACGGCUGGAGAGGAAAGUGGAAUUACCAGUGUAGCGGUGAAAUGCGUAGAUACUGGUAGGAACACCCAUUGCGAAGGCAGCUUUCUGGACAGUUAGUGACGCUGAGGCG